GAUCAUGGCUCAGGAUGAACGCUAGCUACAGGCUUAACACAUGCAAGUCGGAGGGGAAACGACAUCGAAAGCUUGCCUUUGAUGGGCGUCGACCGGCGCACGGGUGAGUAACGCGUAUCCAACCUGCCCAUCACUUGGGAAUAACCUUGCGAAAGUAAGACUAAUGCCCAAUGACAUCCCACGAAGGCAUCCGAAUGGGAUUAAAGAUUUAUCGGUGAUGGAUGGGGAUGCGU
Molecule: ribosomal RNA, 233 nt
Filed under: uncultured bacterium
Lineage: Bacteria
Description: partial 16S ribosomal RNA
Rfam family: Bacterial small subunit ribosomal RNA
Source: RNAcentral